RNAcentral lists this ribosomal RNA (490 nucleotides) under uncultured bacterium. Its description in RNAcentral is "partial 16S ribosomal RNA". It matches the Rfam family "Bacterial small subunit ribosomal RNA", at positions 30 to 507 of the family's 1533-position model. The record is from RNAcentral.
AUUGAACGCUGGCGGCAGGCCUAACACAUGCAAGUCGAACGGUAACAGGAAGACGCUUGCUUCUUUGCUGACGAGUGGCGGACGGGUGAGUCAUGUCUGGGAAACUGCCUGAUGGAGGGGGAUAACUACUGGAAACGGUAGCUAAUACCGCAUAACGUCUCAAGCCCAAAGAGGGGGACCUUCGGGCCUCUUGCCAUCGGCUGUGCCCCGAUGGGAUUAGCUAGUAGGUGGGGUAACGGCUCACCUAGGCGACGAUCCCUAGCUGGUCUGAGAGGAUGAACAGCCACACUGGAACUGGGACACGGUCCAGACUCCUACGGGAGGCAGCAGUGGGGAAUAUUGCACAAUGGGCGCAAGCCUGAUGCAGCCAUGCCGCGUGUAUGAAGAAGGCCUUCGGGUUGUAAAGUACUUUCAGCGGGGAGGAAGGGAGUAAAGUUAAUACCUUUGCUCAUUGACGGUACCCGCAGAAGAAGCACCGGCUAACUCCGUG